Molecule: non-coding RNA, 1146 nt
Organism: Elaeis guineensis (African oil palm)
Lineage: Eukaryota; Viridiplantae; Streptophyta; Magnoliopsida; Arecales; Arecaceae
Source: RefSeq, a predicted model, not a curated record
GUAAAUCUACCAUCCGUAAGGGUUGUGUGCACCACAAAACCCUAGCUUCUCCUCUUCUCGCUGGGGUUUCCCUGCGCUCGAGACCACCGUGACAGAGAGCAGAAGCCUCGCACCGCCUCUCGCCGCCGUCGCUUCCGCCAUCCGCCACCGCAACUGCAGCCAUGGGCCGUAUGCACAGCCGCGGGAAAGGUAUCUCCUCUUCGGCGCUGCCCUACAAGAGGACUCCCCCGAGUUGGCUCAAGAUCUCCGCUCAGGACGUGGAGGAGAACAUCUGCAAAUUUGCGAAGAAGGGGUUGACGCCGUCUCAGAUUGGUGUCAUUCUCCGCGAUUCCCACGGUAUCGCGCAGGUUAAGAGCGUCAAUGGGAGCAAGAUCCUCAGGAUUCUCAAGGCUCACGGGCUUGCGCCGGAGAUUCCGGAAGAUCUGUACCACCUCAUCAAGAAGGCGGUGGCAAUCAGGAAGCACCUUGAGAGGAACCGGAAAGACAAGGAUUCCAAGUUCAGGUUGAUCCUGGUAGAGAGCAGGAUCCACCGCCUUGCCCGCUACUAUAAGAGGACCAAGAAGCUCCCGCCCGUCUGGAAGUAAGUUUUUCUAUGCAGGCAGCUUUCUAACCACCUAGGCUAUAUAAGGGUUUCAUAGCCUGGCCUCGCCUGCGCAAUUUGACAAUCUUGAGUGAAAUCAUAGGAGUGAUUCCUUGCCUUCACUUUCCCUUCCAAAACAAUCUCCAUCAAGUAUGGAGAGGGGAAAUGUUUUUGUUUGAGAGGGGAAAUGCUGCAAUGGACAUGUGAAGAUGACUCGGGUAGCAGCUCCAUAUUGGGUGGGCAUAUGGAUAAUGGAUUUUACAGCUGUAGAAGAGCUUCUAAUCGAGUCUACUACAGCGAGUACACUUGUUGCAUGAUAUGUGUGUAUUAAUUGGGCGUUUGCGGCAUCAUCAUCAGAACAAACUUCCUUUUGAAAUAGGUUAGGAACCAUUCGUCAUUAUUGUGUGUCAAAGAAGGGAACAACCCUCUUGAUGUUUGAAAUUAGUUUUCUAAUACCAGUUGUGUGCAUGUAGUUGAAUUAGUCAAUUAGAUUCUGAUGUUAUAAUCAGAUGUUUUGAAUGUUUUAAACAAGAUUUGGAUGUGACAUGUCAUCGUGUGAGUUGUGA